UUGUAAAACGRCGGCCAGUACCCGCUGAAUUUAAGCAUAUUAAUAAGCGGAGGAAAAGAAACUAACAAGGAUUCCCCCAGUAACGGCGAGUGAAGUGGGAACAGCUCAAGCUUGAAAUCUCUGUUGCUUGCAACAGCGAAUUGUAGUCUCGAGAAGCGUUUUCCAGACGGACCUUCCCUGCCUAAGUUGCUUGGAACAGCACAUCAGAGAGGGUGACAAUCCCGUUCGUGGCAGGGCGGGCCGUUCACGAUACGCUUUCCAUGAGUCGGGUUGCUUGGGAAUGCAGCCCAAAAUUGGUGGUAAACUCCAUCUAAAGCUAAAUAUUGGCACGAGACCGAUAGCGAACAARUACCGKGAGGGAAAGAUGAAAAGAACUUUGAAGAGAGAGUUCAGUCAUAGCUGUUUC
Molecule: ribosomal RNA, 406 nt
Filed under: Hyperia galba
Lineage: Eukaryota; Metazoa; Arthropoda; Malacostraca; Amphipoda; Hyperiidae
Description: partial large subunit ribosomal RNA
Rfam family: Eukaryotic large subunit ribosomal RNA
Source: RNAcentral